UCUUUUGAGGCAGACUCAGAUGGAGAAGUGGCAUAAAAAGCAACAGUGGAAACGGGUCAAACAACGACAGAUGAGGAGCCGAUCACUUUCAAACUCACACUCACCCCCAUCUGCCUCGCCCCUCCUCCCAUCUGACAGAUGCCAAACACUGAGCCUCCCUCAUCGCUAUAAAACCUCCUCGCCUCCAUCACUGUCAGGGACACAAACAUCCUGAAGUGACUGGCUGAGGUGGAUGCAGACACUCUGAGGAUACUCGGAGCAGGUGGAGUGUGUCGUUUUCCAGAAGAGCGAUCUGUGUGUGUGUGUGCAGGAACUACAGUGACUCUGCCCUGCCGUUACGACUACACCCCUCAGGUCACACUGUGAGGCGCGUUAUGUGGUCACCACACCGACCCCAACCAGAUCAGCCCUUCCAGCCGCGCUACACCGGGGGAAGCGAUUCGAGCCGUUCGGCUCAGAUUCGGGGUGUGAAGCUGGGCGAUGCGGGCCAGCGUCACUUCAGGUUUGAGACAAACCGACCGCUGGGGAGAUGGACCUCACCUGACACCAUUACUCUGGAUGUAGCAGCUCGACUCUCCUGCCAAUUAAAACAUCAAUGACUCUGGAAGCGGACAGCGAGGUUUCUGGUGCCUGGCUGGAGACCAGAUUCUGAUUAUUCAAGAGCCAAAACAAAAUGUCAGAAUAAAUAGUUAGAAGGCAGCUUUGUUUUCUAUUUGUUAUUGUUUUUAUUAUUAA
Xiphophorus hellerii (green swordtail) is the source of this 735-nucleotide long non-coding RNA. RefSeq lists it as uncharacterized. The record is from RefSeq and is a predicted model, not a curated record. The transcript has 5 exons. Lineage: Eukaryota; Metazoa; Chordata; Actinopteri; Cyprinodontiformes; Poeciliidae.